AGACAAGGUUUCCUCAGUCUAUAGGGAUGUGGGAAAGCAGUUUAUAGCGGGGAGAGCAUGCUCAGUGGAAUUGGGGCAUGAAUGACAUCUUGGAGGCCUGAAACAUCUCCUGCAUCAGGAGAAUCUGUAAAGCAUCUGGACUCCUCCUCUCCCCACUUCCAUGGAAUGGUCUUCCACACCCCAUCAGCACUGGACUUGGAUGGGUGACUUAAUUUUGCCAAGAGGAAGUAAGACUAUGUAGAAUAGAUUGCCAGAUACUCUGGCAAUCCAUCACCAGUAACACAUGCCCUUCAUCCUGGACCCAAGAUACCUGCCUAUGCUGCAGUAGUAGGAACUAUGUCUGAAGCUGUCAGGACCUGAAUCAGGGAUGCCUAGUCAAUACCUUGCAAGCCUUUGCCUCUGUCAGUGAACACAGAUAUGAGUAAAUGUAUAUUCUUGGCAGUAUAUAUCAAUGAGUAUUCAGAGUUUAUUAUGCAAUUUUGUUGCAGCAACAGCUGAUAAAUAUAAAUUUUAACACACAUACUCACUUGUACACACACACACACACACACACACACGAAAAACUAUGUAAGAUCAGCUCAUGGACAGAUUCAGACUUCAUAAAAAAACAAAAAGGCAAGAAGUAUGACAUGAGACAGUACAGAAACUUCAAUCUUGAGCUGUAGCAAUGGCCAAGAAUGGCUUGUAAGGCUGGGAUUUAGUAACUGAAUUAAAACUGGGUUGCUACUUCUAAGCCGACUACUUUAGGCUUCCUUAUGAUCACAUUCAACAAAAUAAUUCAUAUUGUAAAAUAAACACAAACUCGUGGUCAAUUGCCGGAAAAGUUAUGGUUUACUUUUUCUUUAAAUAAACAAACAUGCUUGCAAGAAACAGUGACAAACAGAUCUACUGCUGUUUUCCAUUUCAGACUACAGAUGCCGCCAGUGCUGCCUGCAGCCAGGAAGACACUGUUACAGGGUUCUCUUGUGUAUAGCUGGAUUUCUAUGCUGCCCUCAUUCUCCCCACCAUUUCUAUUUCUUUCUUUCUGAAGCAGGUCCUUUAACAAUGAAGUUUUACUAAUUAGACUCUGGGAUGACACUGAAGGGCAUCUAUUGAUAUUCUUGGCCACCAUGUCAAUGGCUCAGCCAGUUCAGGCCCUCAACGUGAAUUUUUUUUUCUGGUAAAUGUAUUUGAUGUCUCUUGAAGAUUUAUAUUCUAAGAAUCUUAAUACAUUAUCAUGCAGACUUCAAGAGACCUAGA
This is a non-coding RNA of Rattus norvegicus (Norway rat), 1239 nucleotides long. The record is from RefSeq and is a predicted model, not a curated record. Lineage: Eukaryota; Metazoa; Chordata; Mammalia; Rodentia; Muridae.